GACGAACGCUGGCGGCGUGCUUAACACAUGCAAGUCGAACGAUGAAGCCUAGCUUGCUAGGUGGAUUAGUGGCGAACGGGUGAGUAAUACGUGAGUAACCUACCUUUAACUCUGGGAUAAGCCUGGGAAACUGGGUCUAAUACCGGAUACGACCAAUCUCCGCAUGGGGUGUUGGUGGAAAGCGUUAUGUAGUGGUUAUAGAUGGGCUCACGGCCUAUCAGCUUGUUGGUGAGGUAACGGCUCACCAAGGCGACGACGGGUAGCCGACCUGAGAGGGUGACCGGCCACACUGGGACUGAGACACGGCCCAGACUCCUACGGGAGGCAGCAGUGGGGAAUAUUGCACAAUGGGCGCAAGCCUGAUGCAGCGACGCCGCGUGAGGGAUGACGGCCUUCGGGUUGUAAACCUCUGUUAGCAGGGAAGAAGAGAGAUUGACGGUACCUGCAGAGAAAGCGCCGGCUAACUACGUG
RNAcentral lists this ribosomal RNA (471 nucleotides) under uncultured bacterium. Its description in RNAcentral is "partial 16S ribosomal RNA". It matches the Rfam family "Bacterial small subunit ribosomal RNA", at positions 28 to 507 of the family's 1533-position model. The record is from RNAcentral.